This 24-nucleotide non-coding RNA is filed under the name Arabidopsis thaliana (thale cress). The record is from RNAcentral. Lineage: Eukaryota; Viridiplantae; Streptophyta; Magnoliopsida; Brassicales; Brassicaceae.
GAACAAACCUCUGUGGACAGCGAU